GAUGAACGCUGGCGGCGUGCCUAAUACAUGCAAGUCGAGCGAACGGACGAGAAGCUUGCUUCUCUGAUGUUAGCGGCGGACGGGUGAGUAACACGUGGAUAACCUACCUAUAAGACUGGGAUAACUUCGGGAAACCGGAGCUAAUACCGGAUGAUAUUUUGAACCGCAUGGUUCAAAAGUGAAAGACGGUCUUGCUGUCACUUAUAGAUGGAUCCGCGCUGCAUUAGCUAGUUGGUAAGGUAACGGCUUACCAAGGCAACGAUGCAUAGCCGACCUGAGAGGGUGAUCGGCCACACUGGAACUGAGACACGGUCCAGACUCCUACGGGAGGCAGCAGUAGGGAAUCUUCCGCAAUGGGCGAAAGCCUGACGGAGCAACGCCGCGUGAGUGAUGAAGGUCUUCGGAUCGUAAAACUCUGUUAUUAGGGAUGAACAUAUGUGUAAGUAACUGUGCACAUCUUGACGGUACCUAAUCAGAAAGCCACGGCUGACUACGUG
Molecule: ribosomal RNA, 497 nt
Filed under: uncultured bacterium
Lineage: Bacteria
Description: partial 16S ribosomal RNA
Rfam family: Bacterial small subunit ribosomal RNA
Source: RNAcentral